This 463-nucleotide ribosomal RNA is filed under the name uncultured bacterium. Its description in RNAcentral is "partial 16S ribosomal RNA". It matches the Rfam family "Bacterial small subunit ribosomal RNA", at positions 28 to 507 of the family's 1533-position model. The record is from RNAcentral.
GAUGAACGCUGACAGAAUGCUUAACACAUGCAAGUCGAUGGGGAAGUGGUGCUUGCACCAUGGUAACCAUGGCGGACGGGUGAGUAACGCGUAAGGAACUUGCCUGCGGGACUGGGAUAACAGCAGGAAACUGCUGAUAAUACCGGAUAAGGUCAUUAAGCUGCAUAGCUUAGUGAUGAAAGGGGACGCCUGCGGAGAGCCUUGCGUCCUAUUACCUAGUUGGAGGGGUAACGGCCCACCAAGGCGAAGAUAGGUAGCCGGCCUGAGAGGGUGGACGGCCACAAGGGGACUGAGAUUCGGCCCUGACUCCUACGGGAGGCAGCAGGGGGGAAUAAUGGACAAUGGGCGCAACCCUGAUCCAGCACUUCUGUGUGCACGAAGACGGUUUUCGGAUUGUAAAGUGCUUUCAGCAGGGAAGAAGGAAGUGACGGUACCUGCAGAAGAAGCAACGGCUAAAUACGUG